Molecule: ribosomal RNA, 501 nt
Filed under: uncultured bacterium
Lineage: Bacteria
Description: partial 16S ribosomal RNA
Rfam family: Bacterial small subunit ribosomal RNA
Source: RNAcentral
AUUGAACGCUGGCGGCAGGCUUAACACAUGCAAGUCGAGCGGGGGAAGGUAGCUUGCUACCGGACCUAGCGGCGGACGGGUGAGUAAUGCUUAGGAAUCUGCCUAUUAGUGGGGGACAACAUCUCGAAAGGGAUGCUAAUACCGCAUACGUCCUACGGGAGAAAGCAGGGGAUCUUCGGACCUUGCGCUAAUAGAUGAGCCUAAGUCGGAUUAGCUAGUUGGUGGGGUAAAGGCCUACCAAGGCGACGAUCCGUAGCGGGUCUGAGAGGAUGAUCCGCCACACUGGGACUGGGACACGGCCCAGACUCCUACGGGAGGAAGCAGUGGGGAAUAUUGGACAAUGGGGGGAACCCUGAUCCAGCCAUGCCGCGUGUGUGAAGAAGGCCUUAUGGUUGUAAAGCACUUUAAGCGAGGAGGAGGCUACUCUGGUUAAUACCUAGGGAUAGUGGACGUUACUCGCAGAAUAAGCACCGGCUAACUCUGUGCCAGCCGCCGCAGUAA